AAAGUUUUAUUUUAGCUAAAAAUUUAUUAUAUUUUUAUUUUAUAUGUAAAUUAUUGUAUGAAUUUUGUUUUUUCUAAAAGAAAUAAUCAUUUUUAUAUUCGCAGUAUUUAAUUUUAUAAAUAAAAGAAAUUUUGAUUUAGUAAAAAAUUUUAUUAUAGGAUAAUUUUGUGCCAGCAUCUGCGGUUAUACAAAAUAUAAAAAUAAAUUUUAUUAGUUUUUAAUUAAAUGUUUUUAAUUUAAAUUUAUUAUUUAUUUUUUAGGUUAAAUUUUAGUAUAAGUAAAUAUUUUAGAAAAAAAAAGGAAUUGAAGUUAAGAAAUUUAAAUUAUAAACUAGGAUUAGAUACCCUAUUAUUUUAAAUGUAAAUAAAAAAAGCUAAGGUAGUAAUAGAUAUGGUCUUGAAACUUAAAAAAUUUGGCGGUGUUUUAGUCUAUUUAGAGGAAUCUGUUCUGUAAUUGAUAAUCCACGAUAAAUUGUACUAAAUUUUGUGAAAUUUGUAUACCGUCGUUAUAAGAAUAUCUUAAUAGAGAAAAAUUUUCUAAAAUUUUUAUUAAAAUUUAUUUCAGAUCAAGGUGCAGUUAAUAAUUUAGAAGAAAUGGAUUACAAUAAAAAUAUUUAUAUGGAUAAUUUUUUGAAAUAAAAAUUUAAAGGUGGAUUUAAUAGUAAAAUAAAUAAAAUUAUUUAUUUGAUUUUAGCUCUAAAACAUGUACAUAUCGCCCGUCGCUCUCUCUUUUAAAGGGAGAUAAGUCGUAACAUAGUAGAUGUACUGGAAAGUGUAUCUAGAAUGA
RNAcentral lists this non-coding RNA (786 nucleotides) under Osmylus zheanus. Lineage: Eukaryota; Metazoa; Arthropoda; Insecta; Neuroptera; Osmylidae. The record is from RNAcentral.